This 76-nucleotide non-coding RNA is filed under the name Methylomonas lenta. RNAcentral describes it as "c-di-GMP sequence". It matches the Rfam family "c-di-GMP-I riboswitch aptamer". Rfam says of the family: GEMM was predicted in a large-scale screen for bacterial structured RNA regulatory elements. Genes associated with GEMM are involved in a diverse array of functions, including chemotaxis regulation, signal transduction, secretion and chitin. The record is from Rfam by way of RNAcentral. Lineage: Bacteria; Pseudomonadati; Pseudomonadota; Gammaproteobacteria; Methylococcales; Methylococcaceae.
GACCGCUAAAGCCAAACCUAUCGUAAGGUAGGGGCAGAAAGUCGCGGAUCCUCUCCAGGAAAGCCGGGCUACCGAA